This 203-nucleotide non-coding RNA is filed under the name Clostridia bacterium. RNAcentral describes it as "6S RNA". It matches the Rfam family "6S / SsrS RNA". Rfam says of the family: E. coli 6S RNA was the first non coding RNA to be sequenced, but its function was unknown until recently. It consists of 184 nucleotides that fold into an extended hairpin structure with a large single-stranded internal bulge. Lineage: Bacteria; Bacillati; Bacillota; Clostridia. The record is from RNAcentral.
GAUAUCCUGCCCGGCGCGCGGACUGCGCUUUUAUAACCCUACACUUUUUUAAAAGGGAGCCAGGCUCCGACGGCAGAUUGCAGACCUCCCGUUACGGCUUUGACCGGUUAAUGGAAGAAGGGAGCGUGAAACCGUUGGGAUGGCACCCACCUGCUUUUCGUAGGCAGGUUAUUUAAAGUGCGAUACGUCCGGGUGGGCUCUCA